GCCGGGCGCGGUGGCUCACGCCUGUAAUCCCAGCACUUUGGGAGGCUGAGGCAGGUGGAUCACCUGAGGUCAGGAGUUCCAGACCAGUCUGACCAACAUGGUGAAACCCUGUCUCUA
This 117-nucleotide small RNA is filed under the name Pongo abelii (Sumatran orangutan). RNAcentral's name for it is "Metazoan signal recognition particle RNA (ENSPPYG00000034337.1)". Lineage: Eukaryota; Metazoa; Chordata; Mammalia; Primates; Hominidae. The record is from Rfam by way of RNAcentral.